GUGGGGAAUCUUGCGCAAUGGGCGAAAGCCUGACGCAGCCAUGCCGCGUGAAUGAUGAAGGUCUUAGGAUUGCAAAAUUCUUUCACCGGGGACGAUAAUGACGGUACCCGGAGAAGAAGCUCCGGCUAACUUCGUGCCAGCAGCCGCGGUAAUACGAAGGGGGCUAGCGUUGCUCGGAAUUACUGGGCGUAAAGGGCGCGUAGGCGGACAGCUUAGUCAGAGGUGAAAGCCCAGGGCUCAACCUUGGAAUUGCCUUUGAUACUGGCUGUCUUGAGUUUGGGAGAGGUGAGUGGAACUCCGAGUGUAGAGGUGAAAUUCGUAGAUAUUCGGAAGAACACCAGUGGCGAAGGCGGCUCACUGGCUCGAUACUGACGCUGAGGUGCGAAAGCGUGGGGAGCAAACAGGAUUAGAAACCCUAGUAGUCC
This 425-nucleotide ribosomal RNA is filed under the name uncultured bacterium. RNAcentral's name for it is "partial 16S ribosomal RNA". It matches the Rfam family "Bacterial small subunit ribosomal RNA", at positions 354 to 796 of the family's 1533-position model. The record is from RNAcentral.